GUGAGGAAUAUUGCGCAAUGGAGGCAACUCUGACGCAGCCAUGCCGCGUGCAGGAAGAAGGCGCUACGCGUUGUAAACUGCUUUUAACCGGGAAGAAACCCCAGGACGUGUCCUGGGUUGACGGUACCGGAGGAAUAAGCACCGGCUAACUUCGUGCCAGCAGCCGCGGUAAUACGAAGGGUGCAAGCGUUAUCCGGAUUCAUUGGGUUUAAAGGGUGCGUAGGCGGAGCGUUAAGUCAGUGGUGAAAUCCUGCAGCUUAACUGUAGACUUGCCAUUGAUACUGGCGCUCUUGAGUGCGCUUGAAGGGGGCGGAAUGUGCCGUGUAGCGGUGAAAUGCUUAGAUAUGGCACAGAACACCAAUUGCGAAGGCAGCUCACUAAGGCGAUACUGACGCUGAGGCACGAAAGCGUGGGGAUCGAACAGGAUUAGAUACCCGGGUAGUCC
RNAcentral lists this ribosomal RNA (445 nucleotides) under uncultured bacterium. RNAcentral's name for it is "partial 16S ribosomal RNA". It matches the Rfam family "Bacterial small subunit ribosomal RNA", at positions 354 to 796 of the family's 1533-position model. The record is from RNAcentral.